AUUCAAAGAACUGCAUUCUUAGUCCUACCUGGGUGAGAACAGCUCUGGCUAUGAUGAACAUGACAUCCUGCUAAGGAUGCAGAGGCUAGCCCUGUACCCUGCCCUGCCUGCUGUGCAUGCUGCUGGACCAUCUGUCAGUGGAGCUCUCAGACCCUAUUCUUGAAGCACUCUAAACACCUGAGGAGACAAUGUUUUGAGCAGACACUUGCUGUAUUUGCGCACAGUACUGCAUGUCUUCUCUCUGUCACUCUGGACAUACAUGGCUCAUGCAACAGAUCAGAAAUUAGGUAAGCAAAGAUAUAAAGUUAUUCUGCUUGUGCAGAAUGGAUAAUGAGAGUAAUGCAAUUAACAGUAUUAAUGUUAAUAACUAGAUAUCUGCUAUUAGCAGUCUCCCACCUUGAUCAUUUAUUAAACAGUGACACCAAAUUUAGACGUCAAAACAGU
This 444-nucleotide long non-coding RNA is filed under the name Gallus gallus (chicken). RNAcentral describes it as "long non-coding RNA NONGGAT004018". The record is from RNAcentral. Lineage: Eukaryota; Metazoa; Chordata; Aves; Galliformes; Phasianidae.